Molecule: ribosomal RNA, 511 nt
Filed under: uncultured Bacillus sp.
Lineage: Bacteria; Bacillati; Bacillota; Bacilli; Caryophanales; Bacillaceae
Description: bacterial SSU rRNA
Rfam family: Bacterial small subunit ribosomal RNA
Source: RNAcentral
UCCUACGGGGAGGCAGCAGUAGGGAAUCUUCCGCAAUGGACGAAAGUCUGACGGAGCAACGCCGCGUGAGCGAUGAAGGCCUUCGGGUCGUAAAGCUCUGUUGUUAGGGAAGAACAAGUAUCGGAGUAACUGCCGGUACCUUGACGGUACCUAACCAGAAAGCCACGGCUAACUACGUGCCAGCAGCCGCGGUAAUACGUAGGUGGCAAGCGUUGUCCGGAAUUAUUGGGCGUAAAGCGCGCGCAGGCGGUCCUUUAAGUCUGAUGUGAAAGCCCACGGCUCAACCGUGGAGGGUCAUUGGAAACUGGGGGACUUGAGUGCAGAAGAGGAGAGUGGAAUUCCACGUGUAGCGGUGAAAUGCGUAGAGAUGUGGAGGAACACCAGUGGCGAAGGCGACUCUCUGGUCUGUAACUGACGCUGAGGCGCGAAAGCGUGGGGAGCGAACAGGAUUAGAUACCCUGGUAGUCCACGCCGUAAACGAUGAGUGCUAAGGGUUAGAGGGUUUCCGCCC